Molecule: ribosomal RNA, 119 nt
Filed under: Triticum aestivum (bread wheat)
Lineage: Eukaryota; Viridiplantae; Streptophyta; Magnoliopsida; Poales; Poaceae
Source: RNAcentral
GGAUGCGAUCAUACCAGCACUAAAGCACCGGAUCCCAUCAGAACUCCAAAGUUAAGCGUGCUUGGGCGAGAGUAGUACUAGGAUGGGUGACCUCCUGUGAAGUCCUCGUGUUGCAUUCC